This 506-nucleotide ribosomal RNA is filed under the name uncultured bacterium. Its description in RNAcentral is "partial 16S ribosomal RNA". It matches the Rfam family "Bacterial small subunit ribosomal RNA", at positions 29 to 523 of the family's 1533-position model. The record is from RNAcentral.
AGUGAACGCUGGCGGUAGGCCUAACACAUGCAAGUCGAACGGCAGCACAGGAAAGCUUGCUCUCUGGGUGGCGAGUGGCGGACGGGUGAGGAAUACAGCGGACUCUACUCUGUCGUGGGGGAUAACGCAGGGAAACUUACGCUAAUACCGCAUACGACCUACUGGUGAAAGCAGGGGAUCUUCGGACCUUGCGCGAUUGAAUGAGCCGAUGUCGGAUUAGCUAGUUGGCGGGGUAAAGGCCCACCAAGGCGACGAUCCGUAGCUGGCGUGAGAGGAUGAUCGGCAGAAUUGGAACUGAGACACGGUCCAGACUCCUACGGGAGUCAGCAGUGGUGAAUAUUGCACAAGGGGCGAAAGCCUGUUUCCGCAGUUCCGGGUGUGUGAAGAAGCCCUUCGGGUGGUAAAGCCCUUUUGUUGGGAAAGAAAUACAGAGGUAGAAGAGCCGGUUGGGAUGACGGUACCCAAAGAGUAAGCCGCGGCUAACAUCGUGCCAGCAGCCGCAGUAA